AUUGAACGCUGGCGGCAGGCUUAACACAUGCAAGUCGAGCGGGGGAAGGUAGCUUGCUACCGGACCUAGCGGCGGACGGGUGAGUAAUGCUUAGGAAUCUGCCUAUUAGUGGGGGACAACAUCUCGAAAGGGAUGCUAAUACCGCAUACGGCCUACGGGAGAAAGCAGGGGAUCUUCGGACCUUGCGCUAAUAGAUGAGCCUAAGUCGGAUUAGCUAGUUGGUGGGGUAAAAGCCUACCAAGGCGACGAUCUGUAGCGGGUCUGAGAGGAGGAUCCGCCAAACUGGGACUGAGACACGGCCCAGACUCCUACGGGAGGCAGCAGUGGGGAAUAUUGGACAAUGGGGGGAACCCUGAUCCAGCCAUGCCGCGUGUGUGAAGAAGGCCUUAUGGUUGUAAAGCACUUUAAGCGAGGAGGAGGCUACUUUAGUUAGUACCUAGAGAUAGUGGACGUUACUCGCAGAAUAAGCACCGGCUAACUCUGUGCCAGCAGCCGCCGUAA
RNAcentral lists this ribosomal RNA (501 nucleotides) under uncultured bacterium. Its description in RNAcentral is "partial 16S ribosomal RNA". It matches the Rfam family "Bacterial small subunit ribosomal RNA", at positions 30 to 523 of the family's 1533-position model. The record is from RNAcentral.